CCGUAGCCCUUCGUUGCGCUCCCUCUGGCAGCUCCAUGCCUCUCGAGAGGGGCGAUGUGCAGGGCCCCCCAGCUGAUGUUGCCCUUCCCCAGGGCCAAGCUCUGCGCGCUGCCCUGUACCGCUUCCGCUGCCCGCUCUGCCAGGACAUGCAGACCUUCCAGGCAGAGAUGUACCGCCUCGGCAUCAAAAUCCCUGACAGGGAUGCAGCCUGGGAAGAGGAUGGAGCCUUUGAAGACCUCUUGCAGAGGCACAGCUCCUGCGAUGCCAGCCUGUGCCUGUGCCCCCAGGGACGGGAGCAGUCGGAGGACGUGGGGUGAGUGGGCUCCGACCCCAAAGCCAUGGCGACCUGCUGCCUCCGUCCCCUCCUUCCAGCUGAGACAGACAUUGGCCAGGAUGCUGAGCUCAGCACGGCACAAGCUGUGCACUGCUAGCUCACUGCCAGCCACGGGGGUGGGAGUGGCACGGACCACCCCAGCGCUGGCACCCCACAGCCCUGGGGCCCCCGGUGACCGUGCGGUUCGGGUUCUUGCCGCUUUCCCAGGCCCUGGAGGCUGCUGCUCUGCAGCUCCUGCGGUUCCUCUGGGACCCACCAGCUCUGCUCCGCCAUCGGAGAAGACACCGAGAACUGGGAGUGCAGCGGCUGCAGUGGUGUGGGCACCGGUAAGAAACGCAGCACAGGGACAGGGUCCCCAUAGACGUGUGGCCAUAAGUCCUCGGGAGAUGUCCUCCCAGUUGGAGCCACGUUGGAUACAGAGAUGUGCACCUGCGCUCAUCUCCGUGCCCUUCGCAGCCCCUUCAGGAUCAGCCCCGGUGUAG
RNAcentral lists this long non-coding RNA (816 nucleotides) under Numida meleagris (helmeted guineafowl). RNAcentral's name for it is "lncRNA (ENSNMEG00000015535.1)". The record is from RNAcentral. Lineage: Eukaryota; Metazoa; Chordata; Aves; Galliformes; Numididae.